GAUGAACGCUGGCGGCGUGCCUAAUACAUGCAAGUCGAGCGAACGGACGAGAAGCUUGCUUUUUUGCUGUUAGCGGCUGACGGGUGAGUAACACGUGGAUAACCUACCUCUUAGUCUUGGAUAACUUCGUGAAACCGGUGCUAAUACCGGCUAAUAUUUUGAACCGCAUGGUUCAAAAGUUCAUGACGGUCUUGCUGUCACUUAUAGAUGGUUCCGCGCUGCAUUAGCUAGUUGGUAAGGUAACGGCUUACCAAGGCAACGAUGCAUAGCCGACCUGAGAGGGUGAUCGGCCACACUGGAACUGAGACACGGUCCAGACUCCUACGGGAGGCAGCAGUAGGGAAUAUUCCGCAAUGGGCGAAAGCCUGACGGAGCAACGCCGCGUGAGUGAUGAAGGUCUUCGGAUCGUAAAACUCUGUUAUUAGGGAAGAAAAUAUGUGUAAGUAACUGUGCACAUCUUGACGGUACCUAAUCAGAAAGCCACGGCUAACUACGUG
Molecule: ribosomal RNA, 497 nt
Filed under: uncultured bacterium
Lineage: Bacteria
Description: partial 16S ribosomal RNA
Rfam family: Bacterial small subunit ribosomal RNA
Source: RNAcentral